CCUACGGGUGGCAGCAGUGAGGAAUAUUGGUCAAUGGACGCAAGUCUGAACCAGCCAUGCCGCGUGCAGGAAGACGGCCCUAUGAGUUGUAAACUGCUUUUGUACGAGGGUAAACUCAGUUACGCGUACCUGUCUGCAAGUAUCGUACGCAUAGAGAACGGCUAACUCCGUGCCAGCAGCCGCGGUAAUACGGAGGGUUCAAGCGUUAUCCGGAUUUACUGGGUUUAAAGGGUGCGUAGGCGGUCGGGUAAGUUAGAGGUGAAAGCCCGAGGCUCAACCUCGGAAAUGCCUCUGAUACUGCUAGGCUAGAGAGCAGUAGCGGUAGGCGGAAUGUAUAGUGUAGCAGUGAAAUGCGUAGAGAU
This 362-nucleotide ribosomal RNA is filed under the name uncultured bacterium. Its description in RNAcentral is "partial 16S ribosomal RNA". It matches the Rfam family "Bacterial small subunit ribosomal RNA", at positions 338 to 697 of the family's 1533-position model. The record is from RNAcentral.